AACGCAACUUGCGCUCUUUGGUAUUCCGAAGAGCAUGCCUGUUUGAGUGUCAUGAAAUCUCAACCAUUAGGGUUUCUUAAUGGCUUGGAUUUGGGUGUUGCCAGCUUGUCUGGCUCGCCUUAAAAGAGUUAGCAAACAUAACAUUGUUGUCUGGUGUAAUAAGUUUCACUGGUAAGACGUGUGACUGUAAGCUUCUAAUCGCCCUUGGGCAAUUUUUUGACUCUGGCCUCAAAUCAGGUAGGACUACCCGCUGAACUUAA
This 260-nucleotide unclassified non-coding RNA is filed under the name uncultured fungus. RNAcentral describes it as "partial contains 5.8S ribosomal RNA, internal transcribed spacer 2, and large subunit ribosomal RNA". The stretch from base 1 to 52 matches the Rfam family "5.8S ribosomal RNA", at positions 103 to 154 of the family's 154-position model. Lineage: Eukaryota; Fungi. The record is from RNAcentral.